Molecule: long non-coding RNA, 1908 nt
Filed under: Actinia tenebrosa (Australian red waratah sea anemone)
Lineage: Eukaryota; Metazoa; Cnidaria; Anthozoa; Actiniaria; Actiniidae
Description: uncharacterized LOC116309106
Source: RNAcentral
UAAAAUUCUUACUUAGUGAAGGGGGAGUGGGUACAAGUAUUUUUUAAAAAGUCAUAAAGGUUUUUGUAGGUUGGAUUCAUAUUAUGAAAAUAAAGUUGACUCAUCAACCUUCAAAUAAUUUAAUAUUUCCCUUAGCUUUCGACCGACACGGUCAUCCUCAGAGGAACUACUGAGAAGAUCACUAGGAUUCUUUCACGCCAUAACAUCAGAUGCUGAAUGAGACCAGAAAGAACUCUGCGGAAUGUCUUAUCUAGACCAAAAGACCAGGUCCCCCAGGAAAAGCAAGUUGGAGUUAUUUAUUCCAUUCCUUGUGGUGAAUGCAGCAUCAAAUACAUCGGGGAAAUGAGCAGAGCUCUUGGAACUAGGUGCAGUGAUGGUGCUAGUGAUGGUUUACUCGAAAGAUUAUACUACUUAAACUACCACUGCAAACUCACUAUGUGUGUAAAUAAAUUGAAUUGAAUUGUAAAGAACAUCAGGCGGCAGUACGUUUGAACAAGGCAGAAAGAUCAGCCUUAGCCCAGCAUGCGGAUGAAACGGGGCAUUUAAUCCAAUGGGGUGACAUUUCAAUCGUGAAAAAGAGUAAAGAUGGAACCAAAGAAAGUGGCUGGGAGCAUGUGAAAUAUCAAAGCGCAAGAACAUUAUUUUUAAUAGAGACAACGGCAGAAUUCUGCCAGCAAAUUACAUAAAUCUUUUGUAAUUUUCAAUACUCGUGCUUUCGGGUUUGUGCGCGCAAUUCUAUUGCUCGCGCACAUGUACUAAGUUUGAUCGCGUAUAGUUUUGUUGAUAUCAUGUACUUAUUGACUAGUGAGUUAGGUCGGGCCGUACGGGAAAAUAUUUGGCUCGAGGUGAUGCUGUACGGACCGAAUGCAGCGAGCUCCGUACAAAUGACCGAGAGCCAAAUAUUUUCACGUACGGCCCGACCAAACUCAGUCAAUAAGCAUUUUAUCAUAUGACCCUCACGAAAGAAAUAAUAAAAAAAUGAAAGAAAGAAAGAAAUAGUUAAAUAAAAGCUAAAAAAGAGAAAGCGCGCGGAUUCGAGAUCGGUACGGCCUUGCUCGAGCCAUUUUCCCGAAGGUUUUUCUAAGAGAGCGCGUCCGGGCAGAUACGGGACAUAUGAUAAUGUAACGUAUUUUAGUUCCUCUGAUGAUGACCGUGUCGGUCGAAACCUAAUUAAGGGAAAUUAUUUAAAGGUUGAUGAAUCAACUUUAUUUUCAUAAUAUUUUUAAAAAGUUUACUGCGAAUCCUCCAACCCUCCAAAUCAAAACGUACUUUCCGUCACAAUAAUUUUACUUCCUGAAAUCUAAUUCCUUGCCAUAUUCAUUGACAAUGUGCUUAUCCAAAAUAUCAAGAACUAUUAAAGGUAGGUUAAUGGGAUGAUUUCUAAGAGCUCGAGUAAGGAACUAACUGAAUUAAGGAGAACUGACCCCAAAAUGAGCUAGAGUCAGCUUUGUUCAACGCUUGUUGCGUACAGUCACACAAACAACUGUAAGGAGAAUCUUGGAUAAAUUUGGAUACUGUUUUGGCAACGUCAGCACGAGAAACGGGUUCGAUAUGAAGACGCAAUGAAGGUUUUAAUUUGACUUGGCAUGCAUCAUUCAGGAUAUAGAAAGUCCAUAUAAAUAAACCCACACAUCUAUGGCUAAUUUGCUUACCGGCGUCCACGGCAACUGUAGUAACAUAAACAUAGUACAAAACAAUCAAACACACAAACCAGAGUGUGUUCUUGUUAUGUGAUGAAACCAUCUCAGGCCAGGAGUAGAAGUAUAGAAGGGAACUCAGUAUCUAGACUGAACUUCACUUUAGAUUGACCUUUGAAGUUUGCUGUGCGGAAGUUAGUGUCAGUUAUAUAAAACGUAAACCUAGCAAGCUAAUCCCAUGGCUGUGCAUGAAAAGAUAGUGUUACAAAAA